RNAcentral lists this ribosomal RNA (255 nucleotides) under uncultured bacterium. RNAcentral's name for it is "partial 16S ribosomal RNA". It matches the Rfam family "Bacterial small subunit ribosomal RNA", at positions 524 to 776 of the family's 1533-position model. The record is from RNAcentral.
UACGGAGGAUGCAAGCGUUAUCCGGAAUCAUUGGGCGUAAAGCGUUCGUAGGUGGCUGUGCAAGUCUGCCGUUAAAGACAGUGGCUUAACCACUGAAAGGCGGUGGAAACUGCGCAGCUAGAGGUGCGGUAGGGGUAGAGGGAAUUCCCGGUGUAGCGGUGAAAUGCGUAGAGAUCGGGAAGAACACCAGUGGCGAAAGCGCUCUACGUGGGCCUGCACUGACACUGAGGGACGAAAGCUAGGGGAGCGAAUGGG